Molecule: ribosomal RNA, 451 nt
Filed under: uncultured bacterium
Lineage: Bacteria
Description: partial 16S ribosomal RNA
Rfam family: Bacterial small subunit ribosomal RNA
Source: RNAcentral
AACGAACGCUGGCGGCAGGCUUAACACAUGCAAGUCGAACGGACGUAGCAAUACGUUAGUGGCGCACGGGAGAGUAACACGUGGGAACCUACCUUUUAGUUCGGGAUAACGUCGGGAAACUGACGCUAAUACCGGAUACGCCCCAAGGGGGAAAGAUUUAUCGCUAAAAGAUGGGCCCGCGCUAGAUUAGCUUGUUGGUGAGGUAAUGGCUCACCAAGGCUACGAUCUAUAGCUGGUCUGAGCGGAUGACCAGCCUCACUGGGACUGAGACACUGCCCAGACUCCUACGGGAGGCAGCAGUGGUGAAUAUUGGACAAUGGGGGAAACCCUGAUCCAGCCAUGCCGCGUGAAUGAUGAAGGCCUUCGGGUUGUAAAGUUCUUUUGGAGUGGACGAUGAUGACGGUACCCUCAGAAUAAGCUCCGGCUAACUUCGUGCCAGCAGCCGCCGUAA